CACGUAGGGCGCGAGCGUUGUCCGGAAUUAUUGGGCGUAAAGAGCUCGUAGGCGGCCUGUUGCGUCCGCUGUGAAAGCCCGGGGCUUAACCCCGGGUCGGCAGUGGAUACGGGCAGGCUAGAGGUAGGUAGGGGAGAAUGGAAUUCCCGGUGUAACGGUGAAAUGCGCAGAUAUCGGGAGGAACACCGGUGGCGAAGGCGGUUCUCUGGGCCUUACCUGACGCUGAGACGCGAAAGCGUGGGGAGCGAACAGG
RNAcentral lists this ribosomal RNA (253 nucleotides) under uncultured bacterium. RNAcentral's name for it is "partial 16S ribosomal RNA". It matches the Rfam family "Bacterial small subunit ribosomal RNA", at positions 524 to 776 of the family's 1533-position model. The record is from RNAcentral.